This 30-nucleotide small RNA is filed under the name Bombyx mori (domestic silkworm). Its description in RNAcentral is "ovarian small RNA-23958". The record is from RNAcentral. Lineage: Eukaryota; Metazoa; Arthropoda; Insecta; Lepidoptera; Bombycidae.
UAUGGAGCAUUGUCUAUAACCACAAGUGAC